RNAcentral lists this unclassified non-coding RNA (215 nucleotides) under Hevea brasiliensis (rubber tree). The record is from RNAcentral. Lineage: Eukaryota; Viridiplantae; Streptophyta; Magnoliopsida; Malpighiales; Euphorbiaceae.
UAAGGCUCUCUUUUUUGUUGUUCUGUUUUAUUCAUUAAACUUCAGAGAAAAGAUAAAAGAAUUGCAUAAUCUCUGUUUUCGUACGAGAUCUUGUGAGUGUGCAGAGUGUGCGUGCUACUCAUCUGUGUUUGAUUACCUAUACCGUUUGUUUGAGUGUUUUUGAUGGAUACCCACUUGGAUUUUUACAUUUUCUGGGAUAUUGUUUUUCUUUGGUG